GAGCCCCCGUACAGUUGGACACCAAGCCUUUGUAAAAGCUCCUUCGACGAGUCGAGUAGUUUGGGAAUGCUGCUCAAAAUGGGAGGUAUAUUUCUUCUAAAGCUAAAUACCGGCCAGAGACCGAUAGCGCACAAGUAGAGUGAUCGAAAGAUGAAAAGCACUUUGAAAAGAGGGUUAAACAGCACGUGAAAUUGUUAAAAGGGAAGCGCUUGUGACCAGACUUGCGUCCGGUGAAUCACCCAGCUCUCGCGGCUGGGGCACUUCGCCGGCUCAGGCCAGCAUCAGCUCGCUGUCGGGGACAAAAGCUUCAGGAACGUAGCUCUCUUCGGGGAGUGUUAUAGCCUGUUGCACAAUACCCUUCGGCGGGCUGAGGUACGCGCUCCGCAAGGAUGCUGGCAUAAUGGUCAUCAGCGACCCGUCUUGAAACACGGACCAAGGAGUCAACCUUAUGUGCGAGUGUUCGGGUGUCAAACCCCUACGCGUAAUGAAAGUGAACGCAGGUGAGAGCUUCGGCGCAUCAUCGACCGAUCCUGAUGUUCUCGGAUGGAUUUGAGUAAGAGCAUAUAGGGUUGGACCCGAAAGAAGGUGAACUAUGCGUGUAUAGGGUGAAGCCAGAGGAAACUCUGGUGGAGGCUCGCAGCGGUUCUGACGUGCAAAUCGAUCGUCAAAUAUGCGCAUGGGGGCGAAAGACUAAUCGAACGUCAAGG
This 707-nucleotide ribosomal RNA is filed under the name Colletotrichum sp. RNAcentral's name for it is "partial large subunit ribosomal RNA". It matches the Rfam family "Eukaryotic large subunit ribosomal RNA", at positions 216 to 948 of the family's 3401-position model. The record is from RNAcentral. Lineage: Eukaryota; Fungi; Ascomycota; Sordariomycetes; Glomerellales; Glomerellaceae.